GUACAGACGGGGUUCACCGCGGCUCACGGAGGACUGACGAGUCCCUGCGUGGCGUGACUGACGUCCUCCCAGGGUGGACACUGGUUCAGCCACGCUCCCGUCAUGCAGCUCGCUUACUCAGUCUGGUUUCAUCAGACCUCUCACACUUUACUGUGCUGCUCUAAGAGCUAAAGGCUCAACAGCCACCUUCGAGGCUUUCGGGACGGGAAACGAGCCAGGCUGCGCUCCAUCUCCGUGGGCGGGGCGGGUUCCCACCGGUCUGGCCAGUCCCUGUCUCCCGGGCCUGACCUCUCCUCACGCCCGCCCCCCUGCCCCUAGGGCCGCCCCCCAAGACUCUCAGUCCCGGCACAGUCACUGGCAGAUCUGCGACGGGCACCACCUGCUCCAGCGGCAGCAGCCGGCCCUCUACCGGGACGAGCCCCAGGCGCCCGGGAGGGCAGCCAGCCUCGGAGUGCCCCUCCUGCCCCUCAGCCUCAGCCUUCUGACCUUCCCACAGGCCAUCCUGCGUGUCUCGGUCACUCGGUGUUUUUGGCUUGGCUUUGUGAUCUGUACCUGCCAUGGAGAACAUCAGUAAACACGAGUCACAAUCAAGAUCUCUGGCGAAAGGCCUGGGGUGGGAGGAGCCUGCGAUGGGAGCUGUUUCCCAGAGAUUCAGCCCACCUUGCCUUGCAAGCGCAAGGUUCCAAGUUCGAUCCCCGGUACCAAAAAAAAAAAAAAAUCCACCCCUUUACAGUACAGGAGUAAGUGUUCUUAGGGUAUUUGCAAUGUGGAGCAACCAUCACCACUGUCUGUCCCCCGCACUUCCGUGGCCCCACAAGGAAGCCGCAUCCGGCUCCCAGAAGGCACCACCCUCUGUCUUUGUGACCUGCGCUGUGGACCCCAUGCGGUGUUCGCCCUCGGCAGCAGCACCCCUGGGCCGCAGUGGCUGUAUGGACUCGGAGUGUGUGGUCCUGUCUUGCUGACCUUCCCCCUGUUCGGGGGAGCGGGUCGGGCUGUGUGUGGGGUGAUGCGGUGGCCGUGGCCCCCUAGUCCAGGUUGGGUCUCAGACCGCUGGCCCUGGGCGUGCAGGCAUCCUCUGGAAGCUUGGCGCUGGGCUCCACAAGAGGGCGCUGUCUGAAAGUCUUCCGUGCGCUGGGAGUGACGCAGCCGUUCAGGAGGGUUUGGGGCGCGUGCUCCUGUCUUCCCAAACAUCUAGAGCUCAAGGAGUGCAGAAAAUUCUGACCUCCCUACCCACCCGACCACCCAACCACCCAGCCACCCAGCACCCACCCACCUCCUCCCACUGUCCUCACCAUUUAGCGGGCAGGGACCAAGUAGCCCAGCCCUGUCCACGAUUCCUCUGUGAUCAUGGAAAGCCACAUGUGGUCACUGAGGGAAACUGAGGCUCAGGGAGGUUAAGGAACUUGCCCAGGGUCAUGGGGCUCACAUACAGCUGAGGCAGCAUUCGAACCCAGGCCUUGUGGUGCAGGGCCCAGGCUUUACAUGCGCCACGGUCUCAGGUCAGGUCCGGGUGGGUGAGGGACAUUCAGCGGCCAGCAGGGAAGGAGAAGGCUCCUUGUCCCCCUGGACUGGCCCCUGUGGUGUCCGAGCUCCUCAGCGCUUCCAGGCUGGGGCUGAGAGCCUGUUAUUGUGCUUUUGGCAUGGUGGGCACCAGCCUGGCCAUUGCAUAGGCAGCACACAGGGCACCAGGUCACCGGCCCGUGCCCCUCCUCAGGCUGAGAGGGACAGAAGGGCACAUCCGGGUGGGGAUCACCUGGCCGCAUUCUUCGUGCUUCCCCAGUCUCUGCUUCUAUAGGCUGAUCUGAUGGAGGAGGCCUUGACCCAGCCUCUGAGCCACACCCCAGGAGACUGGCUUCUCCUGGCCCCACCCAGCUGCCACCCAGCUGCUUCCUUGGGCAGCGAAGGGCCACUCCACCUUCUCUCUCCAUCCCAGGGGCGGAGGAUGUCAUCUGCAGUCUCGGCCCUCUGGAUCAAAACACGAUGCUUGCCCUUCCCAGGAUGGGGAACAGCGCCUGCACUGCUGCGGUGCUGUGUCCCCACCACACCUGUGGUGUCGCAUUUAUGACACAAGUGUUUCCCUCUCGCACCCCUGAGAAAGGUCACUGGCUUUUAGCCCCCAGUGAGUGUCUUUCCAUGUCAGAAGCAGACACUCAGCAGCCCCAGUGCAACCCAGAGCAGAGAGCCCUUCCUGCUCGGGUUCCCUGGGCCUCCUGAGCCGAGGGCCUGGCCCAGAGAUGCCUGGGCCCUGCCGGGCUGUCCUGGCACCAGUGCAAUUGUAGGAGCAGGUUUAUGUGUCGCUUGCGUCAAGGGCUCCUUCCUUGCAGGGAGGCCCAGCCCUAACUGGAGAGUGGAAGUUGGGGUCCUGCUCUCUUCCUGGGAGGUGAUCUCUGGCCUGGCUCUUGGGCGCAGCAGCUCCCUAGGGGCCCACCCGCCCGUGUCACUCACCAAGGUCCAGCGCUGUGGCAGUGGGGAGCUGCACCGUGAAUGGCCAUGAUGUCACUUGGGACCUGCCCAGUUGGCCAAAUCCCACCUGGUUGUGCUGCCCUCCACUGCCCUUGGCCUCUGUUUGCUGAACCCCUCUCAGCACCCGCUUUGGAGAGGAGGUGCUUGUUCCUCAGCUGCAAUUGCUGCCGAGUGGAGUGGGGUGCUGUCUCUUCUCAGUGUCCACAGGAGGAAGAGACGGCAGGGGGAGCUUGAUGGCCAUGUGCAUUGUCAGUGUGGCUGGAGCAGGCAGGAAAGUCUGGAGGGGUCCUGGAAGGGAUGAGGGGACCCCUUAGGGCACCCUGCCUCUGCUCUGCCCAGCUGGGCUGGCAGCUCCGGGCCAGUGGGGUGGGGAGGCUUCUGCUGGUUGCAUUGUGGCUAUCCUAGCCUGGUCCUGCCAGCCUGGGAGCCCUUGUGCAUGAGUGAUGGGAGCGGGCGUGUCCAUGCUGUGCUCCAUAGGGGUAUCGGACGCUGUGGCUGUCUGGGAAGUGGGCUGUUUGAGGCUACUUAUCCAUAAAUUGCCACUGGGUCAGGACUCUUGGUCGUAAAGAACAGGAAAGCUAAUUCAUGUUGACUUAAGCUAGGAGGGAAUUUGUUAAUUUACAUAAUGGAAAAGUCUAGGGCCCUGAUGGCUUCAGGGGCAGCUUGAGCCAGGGAUGCAGACAGUGUUGGCAGGACCCAGCUUCUCCUCACAUCAUGCCUCUGCGGCCCUCUAUACCACUGGCAGGCAGGUAGUUUUGAAAAAUAGCUGUGAGGAUCUCUGGGUUUGCACCAAAGUAGUGCCAAUUCAGUAGAAAAAAGAGACACUCUUUCCCAUUGUUUCCCACCACUAAGAAGGGAUCUGGAGUUGGCUGAUUGGCCUUGUUGGGGCCACCAGCACUGUGGCUGAGGGGAGGUGCUGCUCUCAGGCACCUUGCAGCCCUGCUGCUGUGGGACAGUCGUCCCGAGCUUAGUGACUUAGAGGGUCCUCUGGUUUCUUUAGCUGGGGAGUCUGCAGUGUGGGCGGUGCCCAGCUGAGAAGUCCCCUCUGCCCCAUGUGGCAUCAGCUGAGCCAGCCCAGGCUGGGGCUGAUGAUUCCGUCAAGAUGGUGAAGUGGGAUAGCUGUCAGGCCAGGCCUGGCGCUGUGUCUGUGGCCUUCCCUGCAGGCUGGGUGUCCCUGGGCACGGCCGUGAGUGUCCCAGGAGACCGGCAGUGGCAGGCUGACCUGCAUCUCUUCUGCUGUGGUCUACGGGCCAAGCCACUCCAGAACCCAGGCACCAGGGAAGGGGAUGCAGGCCCUCUCUAGAUAGCGGACCAGAUUGGGCUCUCCGUGAGGCAGAGGUGGCCCUCCGUCCUCAGGGUGAGGCCCGAGAAUGGCGGUGGGGUCUCCUCUUGGCAGAGGCCAAUUUCAGACUCAGGAGAAAAAGCCUCGGGAGGCAGAGGUGCUGCACAGUCUCCAGCUCCACUCUUACGGCCUCGUGAGCGUCCUGGUGCCCAGCACCUGGGGUUGACUCUGAGAGGUGAGGACACUGCAGGACCUCACAGAGAAGCCCAGGGGCUCCCCCCUGGGCAGCACCCUGUUCUGGGGACUUGGAUGUCCAGGCUUCACGCACCUUGACCCGCCCGGCCUGGACCUGCCACAGGAGGAGCCGUGGACGUGGCCCUGCGUGGAUGUGGCUCAGACUCCUCCAGCAUGGUCUCCACGCGCCUGUGUGUGCAGCCCCGCACCCCUGAAGGGACAGAUGGGGCACAGGACUGCAGCCUCUCAGAAGUGUGGGGAGUGCAUUGGUCAGGGCAUGGGGGAGGUUGUGGGCAGGCCUCCUGGUGGCCGGGAUGAGCAAAGAGCGGGGAGCAGCACCUGAGGGGUGGGGUGUGGGGCUACAGGAUCUUUUUGGGGCUAACAGUGGUUUGUUUGCUUAUUUAUUGAUUUGUUUCUGCAGUGCUGGGGAUGAGCCCAGAGCCUUACACUGAGCUACAUCACCAGCCCUUUCAUUUUUUUUUCUGAGACAGAGUCUUGCUGACUUGCCCAGGUGGGAUUCGAACUUGUGAUCCUCCUACCUUAGCCUCCCAGAGUGCUGGGAUCACAGCUGUGCUCCACAAGCCCAUCUGACUGUGUUUAAAAUGCCUGGCGAUUUGGAGCAGGAGGAGGUCCUGAGCUUUCCUCUGAAUUGAUUCUCAGGACUACCGAGCACCUCACAAGAGGACCCCCUCUCUCCGGGGAGAGCCCCGCCCCUGUGCUUUGCUUGGGGACCCUCAGGUCCCUUCCUGUUGGAAGUGGUUCCCAUAUUUGACAGGCUUCUGGACAGAGGCAUGGCUGGAGCUCUUGGGUGUGGGGUGACCUGCUUUCCUUCUGGGGAUUGGCUGGCUCAUUUGUCCUGGGAACAGCAGGGCCACCCGCCCCAGGCCCGCCUGUGGUGCUGGCCGAGCAGCUGUGUGCUCUCACCAGUGCCAGACAUGGGAUCAGAGAGGUCACUGGUAGCUGCACAGUGGAAGGCAGCAAAACGCUUCCCAGCCAAGGGACAGAGCAGUCUGCAUGUGGAGCCAGCAGGCGAGUGGAGGGUCACUCAGCAGCUCUGGGCCUGCUGGGCCCUUGGGGUCACCCACACAGUUCCAGAUGUGCUGCUGACUUCUGGCUGCAGCAGGUGGACAGUGUCCAGGGUCUGAGAAACACAUGCUAGAGGACUCCAUUGCACCAGCAGCUUCCUGUAAGCGACAGGUGUUUCCUUCCCCGCAGAACUCAGCCACUGUCCCUUCCCUCAGAGGCCCUUCCUUCAGCCUUCAGAGGUUAGGACUGGAUGUCUUCCGGAGGUUGUUACCCUGCAGCCCACACUCCCUGAGGAGCCUGCCAAAGAGCCUGAUGGCACAGUCACCUACGUGACCCUUCUGGAAGGUCCUGAAGCUGUGAGGCAGUGCCGAGCCCGGGGCUGCCCCUUGUCAGGAGGCCAGGACAGUCAGACACUGGGCCUCUGUUACCGCAGAGGACAGGCCAUGAAGGCCAGACCUCGGAGGACCCGGCUGCUGACGCUUGGUGACCACAGCUGUCUCUGCCACAUGCACCUUGCCGCCUGAACUCGAUGCAGUCCAGACGGGAGCUGUUUCCCUGUGCCUGCUUUCAAGUCAGGAGAGUGAGCGGGGUGUGGGGGUGCACCCCUGUGGUGCCAGCACCCUGGGGGGCUGAGGCAGGAAGGAUCACAAGUUCUAGCCUGGCCUGACCAGUUUAGAGACUUAGUGAGACCCUGUCUCAGAAAAUAAAAAUGGAGCUCAUUGUGAAGGCCCUGGGUUCAAUGUCCAGGACCACAGGGAAAAAAGAGGGGGAGAGGGGAGGGAGGAGGAGAGAAAAGCUCCCCGAGAGCUCCAGCGCUUGUUUCCUGCCACGUAGCUCCUCAGAACCAGAGCUGGGGGCCCAGCCCACGUCUGAAUGGGAGGCUGGCUGUACCCGCAGGCAGCACUACCUCACACCUGUCGUACCUGGGCAGCCCUGGAGGGAGGCUUUGCCCAGAGAGGUUUAGCCACUUCUCUGGUCCCAGAUGCCUCAUGUGGCCUCCGAGGCCCCAAUCCCAAGAAGUCCUGUCAGGAGCUUUGCUGCCCGUGAUGGCUCAGGUCCCACACUGCAUCUGGUAGCUCCAUCCUGAUGGUGGUUCAUGGGCUCCCAGGCCCUCCCCUCUGGGUCUGCCAGACUCGGCUGUGCUCGGUGGGCUCUGUCUGCUGAGACCCCGUCUCCACCCCUGGACAAACUCACCCAGUGGGCCUUGUGUGCCCCUGCUUGGCAUGGUGAGGGAGGGAGUGACUUCCGGAGCCCGGCUCUCCCCAUGCGCGGCUGGGGUCCCAGCGGCUCCUGUGCCCUCGGGGCUCAGUCUGUGUCCUGAGGGACAGGGGUGUGUGUGGGGGCCUGUGUGGCCUGCACCUGACCCGCCUGCUGCCCCAGCCCUGCCCUGUGCCCACUGCAGGCCCUGUCUGCUUCCCAGGACUCUUGGCUGACCCGCAUUGCCCCAAGGUGGCCUCAGUGCCAGGGCUGGGGCAGGGAGUGCCCAGGAUGGCUCUGUGAUCAGCUGGUGAUGUCUGCCGCAGGCCCGGGCUGGGCUUGUGUGCGAGCCUUGUGGGUCUUCAUCGCUCCCCAGUGACUCCCCGGUGUUUGGCACAGGGUGGCGUGGGUAUCCACUGUUUCCUCUGAGGGGUGUCACGCUGGGGGGUUGGAGAGCCCACCAGAGGGACGGGAAACUUCCUGUCCUCUCUCUUGCUGUUUCCAAGGGAGACCGCCCACUGAGGGCACCGUUUUCAUGUUAACACAACAGACCAGGCCGAACCGGAGCAGGGAAGGUGCUGGCACCCGGAGGAGGCCAAGCCUGGCAUUCCACCUCGGGGAGCAUUCUGUUGCCUCAGCACCUGCCAAGCAAGUGUGUCCUUUCCAGACAUCCCACACUCGGGGAGAUCCCAGCAUGCCAGCCCCACCAACCCUGCCCACUGCUCCCCCAGGUUCCACUUUACUCAUCCAACAGAUUUGUGAAUCCGACCUUUUUAAAAAGGGAAAGAUUUAAAAACUGUGUGCACAGCGCGUCCGCUCUCUUCUGUGUGCCCUGCUCCUGUACGUGCAUAGUUGCCUGGGGGCUUGGGCCACAGCCUGGGGCACAGUGUCCUUCGGAGCUGCUUUCUGGGCAGGGCGCUGUGCCUGGGUAUCAGGCCAGGGCUCCUGGUGCUGCCACAUCGGCAUUUCAAAUGCUGAGACUGGCUGGUGGCCCUGGAGGGUCAGCCCCACCCAAAGGCUCAAAGCGUCCACUGUGCCUUGGUCCAUUAUCUCACAGGCUGUGAAAUAGGCUGACAGAGAUUUUGAAUUAUGAACGUCCAUACAGGGACUUCAUUUACUUCUUUUUUCUUUUGGUACUGGGGACCGAACUCGGGACCUUGCACUUACAAGGGAGGCAGCGGAACCACUGAGCUAAAUCCCUGGUCCGUUUUUUUUUUUUUUUUUUUUGGUACCUCGUUUACUUCUCAUAGCAACCCUGAGGUUAUUGUCUUGCAGCUUUUCAGAGUAGGUCUGCCAUGGCUUCGCAGCACCACAUGGUCCUGCAUGGGGUUCCAAGGCCACAGGGGCCAAUGGGGCUGCGGUAGCAGGGAUCUGUUCUGAGACCCUGAUUCUCUGUGAACAGUUUUUUUUUUUUGGUACUGGGGAUCGAACUCGGGACCUUGCACUUUUGAGGCAGGGGCCAAAACCACUGAGCUAAAUCCCCGGCACCGUGAACAGUUUUUUUUUAAUGUCAAUUGUAUUUUCUCCUGUAUUUUUGUGGACUCCUAUCAGUCUUAGGUUAUUCUUCUUUGCAUCACCUAGCAGCUGCUGGACUGAUUUCUCAUGGUCCCUUACUAUCUUUAAGAAAUCUCUGUUUUCAUGGUCCUUAACCGCAAUCCUGUCUUCUAUAUCUGAUAUUCUAUCUUCAGAUUCCCUUAAUCUGCUAUGCAUGCUUUCAAUGGAGUUUUUAAUCUCCUGAAUAUCUGUUUGAAUCUAUUUCAUGGAUUCCAUUUCUUUCUUAUGUUGGGCGAUCAUGGUUUAUAUUUCUUUCUUAUGCUGGGCAUUCAUGGCUUUCAGCAUAUUUUUGAGCUCAUCUAUUUUUUUAUCUGUUUCUGUUUUAGAGCCUCUAAUUAUGUCUUUCACUCUGCUCACCAUGUCUGUAGUUAUCUGGGAGAUUAUGUCUGCUUUGAAUUUUUCUAGAGUCUCAUUCAUCUGUUUUGUUACUUCCUGUGCUAUCAGUUCAGCCUGUCCAGGUGGUUGAUUAUCGGACUUUUCCACCCCAUUUCCCCAAAAAUUGCCUUUUGUAGGGUGGAAGCCUGGGUUUGUGACUUGCUUAAAUGUCUUUUUCAUUUUUGUUUCUGGUACUGUCACUUAUAAGCCAAUGAGUCCCAGUAAGCCAGUCACAGACCCCUGAGAUUCAGACAGACUUCUGGCUGCAAGUCCCAAAUUGAGCUCCCCGCCCUCCCACAGGGCUGAACUCUGCAAGGCUCUACUACAGGUUCCAGCUGCCCUUCCCCUGAAGAUAGUCCAGGAUCAAGUGGGAGGUGAUGAUCCCUCCAACUUACCAAGCACGGUGGUCUGGUGUGCCUUUAUUGCAGAGAUUCUUUUCACUUUUCCAGUGGGAUUCAGUUUUCAUCAGGGAGCCUGAGAGAGGCCUCUCUCUGCUGUUCACCUCUGCAACUCAGGACAAUGGCCUUUAUGUCCCCCUGUGCCUCUGUAAUGUGGAACUGGGUAGCUGCACAGCCAAGAGGCCAGAGGCAGCGGUGGUGGUGGGGCUGGCUGUUGUUACAGGUGCCUGUGGGGCCAAGCCAGUGGCCGGUGGGCCUGCGGGGUGGGGUGGGGGUGUCCUCACCGUUUCCUGGAUGCAAGUGGGCUGACGCUGAUUCUCUUUAAUGCUGCACCGGCAUCUCUCCUGCUGGAAGUUUUUGGGAACAAGUCUUUACCUACCUGUUCUUGUUGGAUCACGGGUCAUGGCAGCCUCUGGAUGUGUGUCUCCUACUGGGGCAGUCCCCACUGUCUGCAUGUGUAAAGGAAGGUGCACACAUGCAGGGUGCCAGGUGUGGGAGUGAGUCAGCCACCCAAGCGCUGGCUCAUCUGCCUCCCGGCCCUGGUGCAGGGCUCUGCCCCUCUCUGGCUUUGUCAGCCUGAGGUACAGAGGCUGGUGUCAUCUGAGCCUGCACUGACUGGGGUGUGAGCAGCUCUCCACUCACUCCUGCUGUGAUGUCCCCGGCCCCAGACUCUGCUCCUUCCUCCCCUGUCCCCUGCCUGGAGUAGGAGGAGGCCCUGGGAGUCCAGCGUGCUCUGAGGGCCUUUCUGUCCUGGGCCGGGAGGUGGCACUGAGGUCCUCACCGUGGCACGGGUGAAGUGUGGGAAGCCAACAAGUGUGAAGCACAUCACACUUGAACAGUGGUCCUGCAAAUCAUUGGCUUCUGUGAGCUGGGAGGGCCAUGGCCAACCCUCCUGGGCCCCCGAUUUUAUCAGUCAACAGAACUGGGGCUUGAGAGAUGCAGAUGCACAUCUGUGGGCACUGCUGUCCUCCCCAGAGGGCCUGGCUCUGCAGACCCCUGAGAGAUGGUGUGUGGGGUUAUGGUUUAUAUCUGUGGAAGGCCAUUGGAUUAGGGGCUUAUAGCAGAUUGCUCUUAGGAGGCGGCUCCUGAUGGGAAGGGGCGGGUCACUGUGGGUGUGACCGGAAGUUCACAUCUCCCUUCCCGUUUCUUCCCUGACGCGCUACUUCCUGUUCACCAUGCCUCGAGCCGCUCUCCUCCCCGAGGCUCCUCUGCCCUGCCGUUCUGCCUCAGAGCCUGCCGACCACCAACCGACAGACGAGCAGUAUAAACCUCUCCUCCGGUUGAGUCGGUGUCGAGCACGGUGUCCCAGCGAGGAGAAGGCAGAGCCGCUGUGCGUCAGGACGCUGGUGCCCCCAACAGAACCACAGUGCGGUGCCCAGGAGGGUCUUGCUGUGUAGCCCAGGCUGGCCCCGAACUCACAAUGAUCCUCCUGCCAGGGCCUCCAAGGUGCUGGGACUACAGCCACGAACCACCGUGCCUGCCCACAGAUGGCAGGAGAGUUUGUGAUUUGCAGGAAAAUCGGGCAGUGAGUACAGAGAUCCUCUGGACAUGCACAGUGUCCCUGGGCACCUGUGACCUGUGAGGACCGGCACCGCCCAUGGGCACUUCCCGAGGGCCACGGUUUCCGGCCUCUCUCCUGUGUCCCGACUGCGUCCUGACCCACGCCCACCCCACAGUGCCCACUGACAGUGCCCCUCCAGUCCUGUCGCCCGCUCAUCCCUCCUACCACGAAUGCAGCGUCCUGACAUCUGGGCUUUUCCAGAACGGCAUAGGGUUGGACCACAGUACACAGCCCUGCAGACCGGCUGCUUUCGUACGCAUUCUUGCUGAAGGCUCCUCUGUGUCUCCUGGGAAACAUUUUAUGGGAGCAAAGCAUGUGUGCAGAAGAUGCAUGAUUACAUGUGCGGGGUCCCGGACUGCCAGGCUCGGGGCUCCGGGGCUCCGGGGUAGCCGGCCCCCCAGCCGGAAGCCACUGUGGCCAGUACUGGGAGUCCCGUGUUCACUGCCAGACCCUGCCCUGCUUGCCGGAGGCCACCCUGCUCCCCACGCCUGAGUCCACAGUGGGGACGUCCGUGGCCAGUCUGUGGCCGGUGUCCCGCACUCAGCACUGUGCUGCGUGGCCGGGAGUGGUGUCCCGUGGUAGGAAGGGCCUCUGCUCGUGGUCUUAGCCCCAGCCUCCUUGGUGAAGUACGGGCGGCUGCAUGGAUCACUCCGGCCUUUGGUCCAAGUUCUCUGUUGGCCCUGGCUCCUGAGUGGCCACGCUGCCUCUGAACCCUGGCAUGGGGACUGAGUCUGCUGGACUGGAGCAGGAGAAACGCAACCACAGAGCCCAAGGAUUCAGAAUCUGCCAGAUUACGAAGGGCCCAAUCUCAAUAGUUUUUGCCUAAACUUACACUUAGAUUAAUUUUAGUGAAUAUCCCAUUGGUAAUUAAACGUAUCCAUUUAUAUAUUUAUUUAUUUAUUCUUUCUGUCAUUUUUAAUUUUUAUUUAUUUAUUUAUUUUUGGUACUGGAGAUCGAGCUCAGGUCCUUGUGCUUGCGCAGCAGGUGGAGAAACCACUGAGCUAAAUCCCCGGCCCUUUCUGUCAUUCUUUAUUAGCACGUUUGCAGUACAUACAGUCAUAUCGAUCGUGGGGAGUCGGUGUGUUUCUGUAACACUUCUUAAUUCUUUCUUCCUCCUCGUCCCCCCACCUCUUGGUCCCCUUCCCUUUUGGAAAUGAUCCCUCUGCCUGUUUUCUAUCACCUGUCUUUUGUUUUUCUCUUUAAUUUAUUUAUACUCUGGGUUUCUCAUAGAAGAGAAACCAUGUGAUAUUUAAGCUUGUGUGUCUGAUUUAUUUCACUUAACAUUAUGGUCUCAAGGUGCACCCAUGUUCCUAUAAAUGACUCAAGUUUAUCUUUCUUUAUGGCAGAGUAUUACCCCACUGUGUGUAAAUGCCACAUUUUAUUUAUUCAUUCUGUUCAUGGGCAUAUAGGCCACUUCCAAGAUUUAGCUGUUGUGAGUUUUAUUGCUGUAAACCUGGGUGUGCAUGGAUCCCUGCAGUAUGAUGUCUUUAACUCUCUCGGAAGGGGGAGUAGCUGGGUCAAUGGAAGUUCUAGAUCAUCUGCUCCAUUAAGUGUAAUCUGAGUGGUAUUCUCUGCAUGCAGUCAGUGGUUACUUAGUGAGAUGUGCCCACACUGGCUGGGGGGGGGCCCUGGGGGCAGAGCCUUGCUGUUAGGUUUCCGUAGGGGCAUGAGUUGCUGCCAUCCCCGAAUGUGCAUGGUGUGCAGAGCCCAUGCCCAGGCCCAGUGUGCAUUUGCUGAGCUUGGUCCCUGUCCCUGAUGGUCUCAUUUUACGGAUGUGGAAGAAGGGGGCAGCUGAAGCAGUGAGCUCUGCUACAUAGUAGUCUGCUUGUCGCUGUGACAGAGCACCAAGGAAAUCGGUGUGAGGGAGAGAGGGUCUUUCUGGUUGGUUGGCUCUGUCCCUCUUAGGCUGGGUGAGGUCACAGUAUCACAGUGAACGGGCCCAGAGUUGCAGGGCACCGAGGGCCGCCUGGGGACAGUGCCUGUUUCACUGCUGCAUUGUGGAGGGGCAGGCCGUGUUCAUCCUGGACAGGUUCCGGUGCAGAAGAGUGGUUCUGUCUGCCAGGCCAGGGCAGCAGAUGCCACUGGGUGUUGGCCACGACUGAGUCCUCUCGCUCAUGCUGGUCCUGCGUCCCCUUCCUCCAGGAUCCCGUCUGGGGGUGACUCCUGAAGCCCCAGGUGCAGGGGACAUUUCCCGACCCACCUCCCCGGUGGGGCCUCUCAGACGGAACGUAUCGGAAGCCCAGCUGCUCCAGCCUCCUCCUUGCCAAAGUGAUUUUAGAUAUGUUACGACUGACAAACAGCACAACCCAGUUCAGAGGGAAAAAUCUCCCCUCUAUUGGAAUAGAGGAAAUUGGGGAGGAGGUAGGUUUUAUUUUUCACUGUUACUUUUGAAAUGAUUAUAGAUUCACAGGAAGUUGCAAAAGUUGUACGCAGGGUCUCCCAGGUCCUCCUCCAGCUCCCUGCAAUGGCGACAUUUUACUUAGCAGCAGUAAAACAGCAAGACCAGGAAAUUGACAUCAGAAUGAGACUCCAGGCCUUGCUCGGAUUUCGCCUGUGUGCGCACGUGCACGUGUGUGUGUUUCUGUGCACGUGAUCUCUUGCAGAGGCUCACGUUACCGCUGCCACCAUCAGGACACUGGGCAGCUUCACUGCCAGAAACCAGCUUCCUGGCGCCCCCGGGAGGGGACCUGCAAACCAUGAGUGGACAAGACGCGCUGUGCGCACUCACUGUACGGCCCCGACUUCUGGAGUGAGUGUACACUGCGGAACAGCUGCGUCAAGCUGAGGGGCGAUGCUGUUUGUGCACUGUGAGGACACCCCAGAUUGGCUCCCUUUGCAGUCUCGAAGUGGUUACGCACUUGGUCACUACCGUCGCCGCAUCCUGCCACAGACCCCUCGAAGCUGUUUCUCUUGUGUGACUAAAAUUGUGCCCUUGACCGACCAGGCACACCAUGUUUUUAGCAGCACAAUAGCUAAGUCUUGGAAGCAGCCUAUACGUCCAUCAACAGAUGAACGGAUAAAGAAAAUAUGCUAUUUACACACAACGGAGUACUACUCUGCCACAAAGAAGGAUAAACCAAAGUCAUUUGUAGGAACAUGGAUGCACCUUGAGACCAUAAUGUUAAGAGAAAUAAAUCAGACACAGAAGGUUAAAUAUCACAUGGCUUCUCUUAUAUGUGAAACCCUGAGUAUAAAUAAAGAGCAAAAUAAGAGAUAGAUCAUAGGUAACAGGGAGAUGGAUGUUUUGGAAAUAGGAAGGGAG
This 13352-nucleotide long non-coding RNA is filed under the name Heterocephalus glaber (naked mole-rat). RNAcentral's name for it is "lncRNA (ENSHGLG00100039820.1)". The record is from RNAcentral. Lineage: Eukaryota; Metazoa; Chordata; Mammalia; Rodentia; Bathyergidae.